RNAcentral lists this ribosomal RNA (301 nucleotides) under uncultured bacterium. RNAcentral describes it as "partial 16S ribosomal RNA". It matches the Rfam family "Bacterial small subunit ribosomal RNA", at positions 509 to 807 of the family's 1533-position model. The record is from RNAcentral.
CAGUCGCCGCGGUAAUACGAAGGGGGCUAGCGUUGUUCGGAAUUACUGGGCGUAAAGGGCGCGUAGGCGGCCAUUCAAGUUAGAUGUGAAAGCCCUGGGCUUAACCUAGGAAUUGCAUUUGAUACUGUUAGGCUUGAGUUCGGGAGAGGUGAGUAGAAUUCCCAGUGUAGAGGUGAAAUUCGUAGAUAUUCGGAAGAACACCAGUGGCGAAGGCGGCUCACUGGCUCAUACUUGACGCUGAGGUGCGAAAGCGUGGGGAGCAAACAGGAUUAGAUACCCCCGUAGUCCCUGUCUCUUAUAC